AGAGUUUGAUCCUGGCUCAGGAUGAACGCUAGCGGCAGGCCUAAUACAUGCAAGUCGAGGGGCAGCACAGGUAGCAAUACUGGGUGGCGACCGGCAAACGGGUGCGGAACACGUACGCAACCUUCCUUCAAGCGGGGAAUAGCCCAGAGAAAUUUGGAUUAAUACCCCAUAGGAAUGUAGUCUCGCAUGAGACAGCAUUUAAAGAUUUAUCACUUGAAGAUGGGCGUGCGUCUGAUUAGGUAGUUGGUGAGGUAAUGGCUCACCAAGCCGACGAUCAGUAACUGGCGUGAGAGCGCGACCAGUCACACGGGCACUGAGACACGGGCCCGACUCCUACGGGAGGCAGCAGUAAGGAAUAUUGGUCAGUGGACGCAAGUCUGAACCAGCCAUGCCGCGUGGGGGAUGAAUGCCCUCUGGGU
This 419-nucleotide ribosomal RNA is filed under the name uncultured bacterium. RNAcentral's name for it is "bacterial SSU rRNA". It matches the Rfam family "Bacterial small subunit ribosomal RNA", at positions 8 to 423 of the family's 1533-position model. The record is from RNAcentral.